GGGGAAUUUUGGACAAUGGGCGCAAGUCUGAACCAGCCAUGCCGCGUGAAGGAUGAAGGUCCUCUGGAUUGUAAACUUCUUUUAUCUGGGACGAAAACGGGAUUUUUAUCUCAAUUGACGGUACCAGAGGAAUAAGCACCGGCUAACUCCGUGCCAGCAGCCGCGGUAAUACGGAGGGUGCGAGCGUUAUCCGGAUUUACUGGGUUUAAAGGGUGCGUAGGUGGGCUUAUAAGUCAGUGGUGAAAUCUCCGAGCUUAACUUGGAAACUGCCGUUGAUACUAUAGGUCUUGAAUUAUCUGGAGGUAAGCGGAAUAUGUCAUGUAGCGGUGAAAUGCUUAGAUAUGACAUAGAACACCAAUUGCGAAGGCAGCUUACUACAUAUAAAUUGACGCUGAGGCACGAAAGCGUGGGGAUCAAACA
Molecule: ribosomal RNA, 420 nt
Filed under: uncultured bacterium
Lineage: Bacteria
Description: bacterial SSU rRNA
Rfam family: Bacterial small subunit ribosomal RNA
Source: RNAcentral